This 405-nucleotide unclassified non-coding RNA is filed under the name uncultured fungus. RNAcentral describes it as "partial contains 5.8S ribosomal RNA, internal transcribed spacer 2, and large subunit ribosomal RNA". The stretch from base 1 to 52 matches the Rfam family "5.8S ribosomal RNA", at positions 103 to 154 of the family's 154-position model. Lineage: Eukaryota; Fungi. The record is from RNAcentral.
AACGCAACUUGCGCCCUUUGGUAUUCCAAGGGGCAUGCCUGUUUGAGUGUAGUUGAAACUUAUCAAGUCCUUCUCCCACUUUACUCUUGCGUGUGGGUGGUUGGGGGAUUUCUUGGAAACUGGAGUGUGCCGGGCCCUUGAUGGAUAUUUGCUGUCCUUCGAAGGGGGGUUUGGCUCCUCUGAAAUGCAUUAGCGGAGGCGGCGUGAGCACGAAAAGCCCGCGUCGGUUUGCAAUCUUAUUGGUUGGCAUUGAUAGCCUUUUUCAUGCCCUCCUGUGCAACCUGGCGUGCUUGCCCGUGUCUUCGUAGCCUUUGCUAUCGAAUGGUCCUCGAUAAACAGAGGACAAAAACCGUGCUUUCACAACGAAAUCACCUCAAAUCAGGCAGGACUACCCGCUGAACUUAA